GGUGAUGGGUGGCUUAGUGGGUAGAGCAGGCGCACCAUGGGCAAAGGCGAUAGUCCUCCACAUGUUUGUUCUGGGUUCAAUUCCCAGUCUUGCUG
Ataeniobius toweri is the source of this 95-nucleotide non-coding RNA. Lineage: Eukaryota; Metazoa; Chordata; Actinopteri; Cyprinodontiformes; Goodeidae. The record is from the annotation of a GenBank genome assembly.